Molecule: long non-coding RNA, 5485 nt
Organism: Aquila chrysaetos chrysaetos
Lineage: Eukaryota; Metazoa; Chordata; Aves; Accipitriformes; Accipitridae
Exons: 4
Source: RefSeq, a predicted model, not a curated record
GUGCCGCUUGGGGCUGGCUCCCGGGCGGUUCGAGGGCAGCCGUCGCUGCUCCUUACGCAGCGCAGCCGUGUGCGAGCGCGGGCUCCGCACCUGGCUGAACCCCGGUGAGGAUUUCAGCCCGGAGUUGGAACGUCUGAGCUGAGCUGUAGACUCAGCUCCAUCUGCUGCACCAUAUUUGUGACCACCCACAAAGAUCCAGGCUACUCAACCUCUGCAGACUUACUAGGGAGCACGAAAACGCAGGGAAGCAAUUAAAGAUGUGAUUCAACCCACUCUUUUCUUUACUAUAUUGCUAAUAACGGAAGACCCUAGCUUGAUACUCGUACUCUGGGGCUGAGUUUUCGGGGCUGGCAGUAGGCAUGCAACUGUUCAUUACUUCCAAACUUCUGUUUUAUCUGGAGUAGUUUAAACCCAAGAAACACAGAUCUUUUCCUUCCAGAUAAUGUUGUGUACAUAAAACUAAUUGCCAUGGAGCAACCACGCUUUUGGAGAUGCACUGCUUUUUUUCCAAAGUCUCGGCACUUACUAUCGAAGCUGAACUUCCACCAGAAGCUGCUGAGCAGGGUGGACCAACCCUUGGGAUCAGCAUCAGCUCUCGUCUCUCCCAUUAUGCCUCAAUCCUGCAACUUUGUUCUGAUCAUGAGGGCUGCCUUAUCAACAAAUUCACUGCCGCAGUUUUUCCAUGUGAUUAAUACUAGGAAAAAGGACAAGUGACCUUAGUGGGGUAUGGCCAACAUGGUCCAGCCUGGCAGUACGUAUCUGGGCUUGGAAAAGAAAAUCUCAACUUUGCAGGUCAGUCAUUGCAACCCAAACCCAGAGAUGGAAAAAGAAAAAGCUGCAACCUGCGUGGCCUGUGAACAACACAGAUCCUCCUGCAAACCUCCGGGAGCAAAACUGUUGUUUAGAAGAAAGGAAAUUCCAACCCUCCCAAGAUGAUCUGUGAAGAUUCUGUAUUGAGAUUUUUAGUCAGAGUGUGAAGAAGGAAUGAGACUCUUUUGCCUCCUAAAAUAAAGAGCAGAUAUAGUCCAAAAGAAUGACCAGAGGUCACAGCCGUUGUCCAGCUGACCUGGUGUCUGUCACCUGCAGUGGCCAACUGCGCAUGUCUAGGAGAAUGCAACAAGAGCAAGGUGCCUCCAUUUAAAAACACCCUGAGGAGCAGUACGGCCCCGCAGUGACACCAUCUCUGCACGAGGAGACCGAGCCGCUGCCUGCGAUACCCCGGGGUGAGCAUGAGGACAAGGCUGUAAACGUCCCUGCAUCUGCGAUUCAUCUACUCCUUCACCCAUUUCCAAGCGAGGCUCACCACAAACGACUGCAGUGAGACACAGCUAACGACGUCGGAUGGGAUCCUCCUGUUUCCCAGAUGAUCUGACUUCACCAACGUCCACGACUGCAUAGAUGAACACACGGGAUGAGUGACAAAUUAAUCUUUGGAACAGCUUAUUGCUGCUGAUGUCCAGGGAAGCUUCCUUCUGACUUACUGCGUGCCAAAGGGACGGCAGCAGGAGCUGCUUUGGCAGGAGUGAGCCCCGGGAGCGCUGCCUGCCGCAGACAUCCCCAGUCCUGCACUGCUGCCCGACAGCAGCAUUGGCUCUGGCCCCCCCAAACCUCAGCAGGCGCCUGCUGACUCCAGCGGCGGAGGCAGACCCGUGGGGCUGAGAAGGCAGCUGGCAGAUGGAUCGGGAAUGGCCUCAGACAGGUUUGGACCUGCACCCAGGUGGUUUCCCAGCUCUGAUUUUCCUAACUCCGUGCAGGGAAUGCCCCGGAGUAGCUCUUUGCUGCACCUCAUCCCUCGAAGGCAAUCAGCCACCCCAAGUAUGCGGUCUGCUCCCGCACCGGCUGAAUGUCUUUGCAGUUAAUACCGAGGGUCUGAUCCCGCUCUGGGUUUCACAGGUGUCGCCCCAUGUGCAGGGAGGCAGUCAUUCCCUAGGACCUCGCACAGGAGAACCGGCUGCAGUGCGGGAUGUCUGGGGAGCCCCGGCCCCCCGAGCUGGAGCGAUGGCGGCACUGCCAGGUCUGUCCCACCCUGGAGGAAGCCUGCUGACCAGAAAAAGACCCGGGACACUGCAAAUGAGCUGUGACAAGCCAGGCCAGCCCCAGCUGUGUCACCUGGAAAGUCUGAGUGGACGGAGGUGGCGCGGAGGGGAGACGUGGUCAUCCUUGGUGCGCGGUCCGCAGGGCCCUCGUGGGAGGCGGCACAGCCUCGUGCUCUGCGCAAGCUCUGCCUUCCCCUCCCACCCUGGCACUGUGUUAUUUGUGCAGAAGAGCUAAAUACCCGUGCUGUGCAGAGGCAGCGAUAUUCCUAUAGAUACAUGAUUUCUGUAACGCAUAACAGCCUCCUUGGGAGGAACAAUUUGUUUCUAGGAUAGUGCCAGGAAGAAGAGAAAUCCAGCCCUGGAUGUCUUCCAGUUUGAUUUUUCUCCCACUAGGUACUGUGGGUUCAGCUUGCAAGCGUUUUUUGAUUACUUUUUAUUUUGGAGCUGUUUGGAGCAGGACUGGCGUCGGUCGGAGGGGACUGGCACACGGGUGUGCUGCAUGGGGCCGUGUCAGGGGUGCCGGAGCCAGGAUUCGCCAGGACUUGCUCUUCAGGGAAACAUGUUGAAUUGGAUCCUGCAAGCCUCUAAACUCCAUUGCACCAGCUCUACACCUGGGUAGUAGGAGUCCAAGUACAGCCUAAAUAUUAAACUAUACCGAGGUGCUCAAAAGAACCUCCCACCCAGCAAGCGGCCACUGUGGAGCAAAGAAGGGUCAAUACCAAAGGAUGGAGGAAGCUCUUCCUACCAACCCUAUCUACUUUUCUUUGAAGAACUGCACAGCGUGAAGAGGUGGUAUACAAUAGGUGAGGGAACAUUUCAUUGCCCAAGAUCUAGAGGUGAGCACUAGAGGCGUACCAGGGUGGCUGAAGAAAUGUUAGAGUAUCUUUGCUCUCGACUGUGGCCCAGGGUGACCUGUCCAUCUCUGCACAGAGAUGCCUGCAUCUUCAGUGCAGGGACACCCACAGCGCAGGGACAGGCUCUUCCACAGCACACAUGGAAGUAUCCAGAAUAUUCGAUGUGUGUCGGAAAUGGAAAGCUUGCGUCCCGACCCCGCCGCGCAGGCGGGGAGGGUGGCAAGGGCGAGACGGCCAGCAGUCCCCACUCUCAGGCAUGGUACAUGUCACUGGAGGCUGCUGCUGUGCUGGGCACUGUACAAGCGCAGCGGCGAUUCCUGCCCUGGAGAACGGGCAAUCUAAAGAGACCAUGUAGAUGAAGGGUGGGGUGAUGGUGGAAAUACUACCCCUGCUUUACCUGUGGGGAUAGUACCAGGGGGAGUGUGAAUGACUUGCCGGGAGGCGGACAGGGACUCCAGGACAGAUCAGAGAGCGCAACUGAGGCCACGGUCCUGAUGAGCAGUGAUUUACACACCGUGAAUGGAGAGCUGGUUAUUAUCUACAUGCUGACGCCAAAGGAUGUGCUGGCUUUUCAUAAAGAGAGAUAAUCAAUAACAACUGCCAUCCAUUUUGAUUACUAACUUUCUGCAAGCCGCCUUCAGCAUCCUGCCACUGACUGCCCGCAUUUCGAUGGGAUGAAUGAGCCCCACAUCAUCUCCUUUGUGUGCUCAGCUAGCGCAGUUCCAGCGCUCUUUAGGAUCCAGUUGGAUGAAAAGAGCUAUUUGAAUGUAAAUUAAUUGCCAUUACAAUUCUGUUUUUCUGCUUUUCGGCAGAGGAGAUAACUUCAGCCUUUUCACAGAGAACAAAACCAUCAAAAGUGAACUUGUCAAUUCAAUCUCUUCAUAUAAUUAUAUUCUGAGGAUUCAGACAGUUGGGUGGUUUCUGUAUUAUUUCUCCCCUGAGGAGAGUGCUCCCAUCUUCUAAGCACAAGCAGACUGUGUGCACCUGGGAGAACAAAGUCAGUCUCCUCCUGCUCCCAUCGGUACUGGAGCUCACCAGAUCUGCCCGAUUCCCUCUUGGGCUCACUGGGACACGAGGCCAGAGCUGGUCAUGGCUAGAGCUGCCGGCCGCCCUGCACCGUGAGCCACCAGGCCUCCGCAGGGGGAAGGUGGAGAUGUAAAUUGUACGGAUUUAGCUGGCUAUGGAGAACAUCGUCUUAAGUUGCAGGUGUAAGUAGGUGUGAUCUACAGACUGAAGAGAUGAAAAGCAACCAAAGGACUCUGCAGAAGCAGGUAUUAGAGCCAGUCGCUGAGACUGCUGGGGCUGGUUUCUGUGCUGCUAUGUUUGCGCAUCUGCGGCUGCUGGCAGGGCGAUGGCAGCGGUGAACUGGAGCACUUACACCAUCUGCUAACUAACACCCCUUUGCUAUGCCACUGCAUUGAGGCUUAUGUCACUUCCGAACUUUGCCUAUUGAAAUUCUGGCUUUGUACUGCAGAGGCGAAAUGGAGAAAUGGGGGAAAUGAUUAAAGAAAAUACAGAGCAUCUUCUGUCCGGGAGAGGCUGAGCAGAUGCUGCACCAGCGAUGGCUGAGGCACGGCCGCAGGUGCCCAGCCCCGAGGGGAGCGCCCGGCUGUGUGCUGGUAACAUCCCCAUGGCUCCGGGGGAGGACAGUGCUGGAUCAGGCUUUACUUCUCCUGUGUGAAACCACAAGAGAGAUCGAGGUGGGCAGGAGGAGUGCCAAGGCGCAUGCAAAGCAGGAGCUGGACCCCAGCGUGGCUUUGCUUUGUAGACGCCCUCUCGUUGGUGCAGGCAGAGUUGUGUGGGCGCAGGCAGAGCAGGGACGGGUCUGAAAAGCUGUUCUGUGAGAGGAAAGAGGGGCGGCUGGCAGCGGCUGGCGCAGGGGACAGCAGGGUGACGCCGGGGACCAGCGUGUCGGAGCUGCGGUGUCUGCGCGAAACCUUUUCACGCCUCUUCCCCUCACGGUUGCUGCUAUCAGAUGUUUUUGUCUCUGCUGCAGUCAGCAAUCUCGGGCAGUGGUUAAGUUGUGUGUCAUGGUUUUAAGCCGCACGGAAAACAAACUGUGUCAGCCCUCGGCGUGCCCGGUCAUGAUGCUCUGCCUCAGCACCGCGGUUCUCAGAAGCGGCUGUUUACCGUGCAGGGAGGAAACCUGCGUCCCGCACCCUCCUCCUGCUGCUCCCGAGCCCUCUCCCUGCUGAUUUAGUGCCCUCCCUUUGCUGGGAAAGCGAGCGCGCCGACGCCGCUCGUCACCCAGUGCUGCCAGGCCUGGGCAGCGGUGCCGCCGCUGCCCGCCGGCACGGGGGGCCGGGAGCUCUGCCAGCCGGGACGGCGCUGGCGGCGGGGAGGGGGGCGAGGGACGGCCCUGCGCCUUCCCAUUGCCCAACAGCCCAGGGUUUAGUUUUCACGUUAUUUCAGGGAAGCGCUUAAUUAGCGACGGUACAUCUCUCCAUUAGCUUGCCGCCUCCGCUUCACUGCCGUUUCGAUGGUAAAUUAAUGACUGUCGUGAAGUGAUGGCCACCGGCUGGGCCUCGCCUCAGCUGUAGGCCAAGACCGGGGAGGACGCUGUCUGCCUGGCCUUGGGCGUCCUCAUCUUGCCAA